GGUCCAGACUCCUACGGGAGGCAGCAGUAGGGAAUCUUCCGCAAUGGGCGAAAGCCUGACGGAGCAACGCCGCGUGAGUGAUGAAGGUCUUCGGAUCGUAAAACUCUGUUAUUAGGGAAGAACAUAUGUGUAAGUAACUGUGCACAUCUUGACGGUACCUAAUCAGAAAGCCACGGCUAACUACGUGCCAGCAGCCGCGGUAAUACGUAGGUGGCAAGCGUUAUCCGGAAUUAUUGGGCGUAAAGCGCGCGUAGGCGGUUUUUUAAGUCUGAUGUGAAAGCCCACGGCUCAACCGUGGAGGGUCAUUGGAAACUGGAAAACUUGAGUGCAGAAGAGGAAAGUGGAAUUCCAUGUGUAGCGGUGAAAUGCGCAGAGAUAUGGAGGAACACCAGUGGCGAAGGCGACUUUCUGGUCUGUAACUGACGCUGAUGUGCGAAA
This 438-nucleotide ribosomal RNA is filed under the name Staphylococcus aureus. RNAcentral's name for it is "bacterial SSU rRNA". It matches the Rfam family "Bacterial small subunit ribosomal RNA", at positions 328 to 758 of the family's 1533-position model. The record is from RNAcentral. Lineage: Bacteria; Bacillati; Bacillota; Bacilli; Caryophanales; Staphylococcaceae.